This 298-nucleotide long non-coding RNA is filed under the name Physcomitrium patens. RNAcentral's name for it is "long non-coding RNA (PPAT_LNC011652)". The record is from RNAcentral. Lineage: Eukaryota; Viridiplantae; Streptophyta; Bryopsida; Funariales; Funariaceae.
UGUCUUGUUAGAUUAAUCCAAAAAUUUUCAUUCACUCCGCAUACUCAAUCCUAUAGACACCCUUUUAAUUCUUCAAUCACAGACGUAACUUCGAUUUUACAAAACAGUCAAGAGUAAUCACACCCACUUCAUUAAAAUCCUGAUUCACCAAUACAACACUCACUUCAGCAACGAUUGCCUCAGUCUUCUCAAAACCCUAUGAAGAAAAAAAACCCCAAUUCUCUGUCUUUUUUCCCCACCCCAAAGCAUGAAGCUCUCUCCGACCCCUUCAAAACCUUUAUUCUCUCUCCCUUCCAUU